RNAcentral lists this ribosomal RNA (497 nucleotides) under uncultured bacterium. Its description in RNAcentral is "partial 16S ribosomal RNA". It matches the Rfam family "Bacterial small subunit ribosomal RNA", at positions 28 to 507 of the family's 1533-position model. The record is from RNAcentral.
GACGAACGCUGGCGGCGUGCCUAAUACAUGCAAGUUGAGCGAUGAAGAUUGGUGCUUGCACCAAUUUGAAGAGCAGCGAACGGGUGAGUAACGCGUGGGGAAUCUGCCUUUGAGCGGGGGACAACAUUUGGAAACGAAUGCUAAUACCGCAUAAUAACUUUAAACAUAAGUUUUAAGUUUGAAAGAUGCAAUUGCAUCACUCAAAGAUGAUCCCGCGUUGUAUUAGCUAGUUGGUGAGGUAAAGGCUCACCAAGGCGAUGAUACAUAGCCGACCUGAGAGGGUGAUCGGCCACAUUGGGACGGAGACACGGCCCAAACUCCUACGGGAGGCAGCAGUAGGGAAUCUUCGGCAAUGGACGAAAGUCUGACCGAGCAACGCCGCGUGAGUGAAGAAGGUUUUCGGAUCGUAAAACUCUGUUGGUAGAGAAGAACGUUGGUGAGAGUGGAAAGCUCAUCAAGUGACGGUAACUACCCAGAAAGGGACGGCUAACUACGUG